UACGGAGGGCGCAAGCGUUGUUCGGAAUCACUGGGCGUAAAGCGCGUGUAGGCGGCCGAGCAAGUCGGUUGUGAAAUCCCGAGGCUCAACCUCGGAACUGCAAUCGAAACUGCUCGGCUCGAGUCCCGGAGAGGAUGGCGGAAUUCCCGGUGUAGGGGUGAAAUCCGUAGAUAUCGGGAGGAACACCAGUGGCGAAGGCGGCCAUCUGGACGGUGACUGACGCUGAGACGCGAAAGCGUGGGGAGCAAACAGG
RNAcentral lists this ribosomal RNA (253 nucleotides) under uncultured bacterium. RNAcentral's name for it is "partial 16S ribosomal RNA". It matches the Rfam family "Bacterial small subunit ribosomal RNA", at positions 524 to 776 of the family's 1533-position model. The record is from RNAcentral.